UGGUAUAAACCUCUCUCGAAUGAAUCUCAACAAUCUUAUCAUUAUCCCCUAACCCAAUAGAUGUAAUCAAUUCCAAUGAAUCUUCCAGCCCAUUUUCUUCAUAAACACCUAAAAUCCUCUCAUCAUCUUGCAAUGUACCUAUCUUGCGUAACUGUCGUUCAAUAUCAUAUAAUCUUUUUCUUUCUUUUCUUUUAAAAUCAUCAACUUUCUUAUACAUAAUAUUUCCAUUCUCCAAUAUACCAAUAAAACUCGCAUCAAAGGCACCUUCAUCUCGCGAGAGUA
This 282-nucleotide long non-coding RNA is filed under the name Physcomitrium patens. RNAcentral's name for it is "long non-coding RNA (PPAT_LNC011141)". The record is from RNAcentral. Lineage: Eukaryota; Viridiplantae; Streptophyta; Bryopsida; Funariales; Funariaceae.